AGCGAACGCUGGCGGCAGGCCUAACACAUGCAAGUCGAACGAACCUUUCGGGGUUAGUGGCGGACGGGUGUGUAACACGUGGGAACGUGCCUUUAGGUUCGGAAUAACUCAGGGAAACUUGUGCUAAUACCGAAUGUGCCCUUCGGGGGAAAGAUUUAUCGCCUUUAGAGCGGCCCGCGUCUGAUUAGCUAGUUGGUUGAGGUAAUGGCUCACCAAGGCGACGAUCAGUAGCUGGUCUGAGAGGAUGGUCAGCCACAUUGGGACUGAGACACGGCCCAAACUCCUACGGGAGGCAGCAGUGGGGAAUCUUGCGCAAUGGGCGAAAGCCUGACGCAGCCAUGCCGCGUGAAUGAUGAAGGUCUUAGGAUUGUAAAAUUCUUUCACCGGGGACGAUAAUGACGGUACCCGGAGAAGAAGCCCCGGCUAACUUCGUG
This 434-nucleotide ribosomal RNA is filed under the name uncultured bacterium. RNAcentral describes it as "partial 16S ribosomal RNA". It matches the Rfam family "Bacterial small subunit ribosomal RNA", at positions 29 to 507 of the family's 1533-position model. The record is from RNAcentral.